Molecule: unclassified non-coding RNA, 574 nt
Filed under: Aspergillus creber
Lineage: Eukaryota; Fungi; Ascomycota; Eurotiomycetes; Eurotiales; Aspergillaceae
Description: sequence contains 18S rRNA gene, ITS1, 5.8S rRNA gene, ITS2, 28S rRNA gene
Rfam family: 5.8S ribosomal RNA (bases 202-355)
Source: RNAcentral
AGUCGUAACAAGGUUUCCGUAGGUGAACCUGCGGAAGGAUCAUUACCGAGUGCGGGCUGCCUCCGGGCGCCCAACCUCCCACCCUUGACUACCUAACACUGUUGCUUCGGCGGGGAGCCCUCUCGGGGGCGAGCCGCCGGGGACUACUGAACUUCAUGCCUGAGAGUGAUGCAGUCUGAGUCUGAAUAUAAAAUCAGUCAAAACUUUCAACAAUGGAUCUCUUGGUUCCGGCAUCGAUGAAGAACGCAGCGAACUGCGAUAAGUAAUGUGAAUUGCAGAAUUCAGUGAAUCAUCGAGUCUUUGAACGCACAUUGCGCCCCCUGGCAUUCCGGGGGGCAUGCCUGUCCGAGCGUCAUUGCUGCCCAUCAAGCCCGGCUUGUGUGUUGGGUCGUCGUCCCCCCCGGGGGACGGGCCCGAAAGGCAGCGGCGGCACCGUGUCCGGUCCUCGAGCGUAUGGGGCUUUGUCACCCGCUCGAUUAGGGCCGGCCGGGCGCCAGCCGACGUCUCCAACCAUUUUUUUCAGGUUGACCUCGGAUCAGGUAGGGAUACCCGCUGAACUUAAGCAUAUCAAUAA